AACGAACGCUGGCGGCAUGCCUAACACAUGCAAGUCGAACGAGAACUUCGGGUCUUGUGGCGCACGGGUGCGUACCGAGUGGGAACCUGCCCUUAGGUUAGGUAUAACUCCCCGAGAGGGGUGCUAAUACCGCAUUAUGUCUUCGCGCAUAAGAUUUAUCGUCUUUGGAUGGGCGCGCGUUGGAUUCGCUAGUUGGUAGGGUAGAAGGCUCUCCAUGCGAUGAUCCAUAGCUGGUGUGAGCGGAUGACCAGCCAUACUGGGCCUGGGAGACGUCCCAGACUCCUACGGGAGGAAGCAGGUGGGAAUAUGGGACAAUGGGCGAAAGCCGGAGCCAGCAAGGCCGCGUGAGUGAGGAAGGCCUGAGGAUUGUAAAGCUCUGUGACCCGGGAUGAUAAUGACAGUACCGGGAGAAUAAGCGCCGGCUAACUCCGUG
This 433-nucleotide ribosomal RNA is filed under the name uncultured bacterium. RNAcentral's name for it is "partial 16S ribosomal RNA". It matches the Rfam family "Bacterial small subunit ribosomal RNA", at positions 29 to 507 of the family's 1533-position model. The record is from RNAcentral.